GUUUACUACAGAAAAUGACUGAGCGGCGAACGGGUGAGUAACGCGUGAGCAAUCUACCUUAGUUACAGGGAUAGCCCGAGGAAACUCGGAUUAAUACCUGAUAUUCUUUAUAUUUCGCAUGAAAUUAAAAGGAAAGGUCAGCCGAACUAAGAUGAGCUCGCGUUCUAUCAGCUAGUUGGUGAGGUAAUGGCUCACCAAGGCUUCGAUCAGUAGCUGGUCUGAGAGGAUGAUCAGCCACACUGGGACUGAGACACGGCCCAGACUCCUACGGGAGGCAGCAGUGGGGAAUUUUCCGCAAUGGGCGAAAGCCUGACGGAGCAACGCCGCGUGAGAGACGAAGGCCUCUGGGCUGUAAACCUCUUUUCUCAAGGAAGAAG
This 377-nucleotide ribosomal RNA is filed under the name uncultured Prochlorococcus sp. RNAcentral describes it as "bacterial SSU rRNA". It matches the Rfam family "Bacterial small subunit ribosomal RNA", at positions 73 to 450 of the family's 1533-position model. The record is from RNAcentral. Lineage: Bacteria; Bacillati; Cyanobacteriota; Cyanophyceae; Synechococcales; Prochlorococcaceae.